CUCAUUUUUCUCUUGCUACCACCAUGUAAGAAGUGUCUUUCGCCUCCUGCCAUGAUUCUGAGGUCUCCCCAGCCAUGUGGAACUGGGAAGAAUGGAAGGCAACGCCUCCGAAUUAAAUUUUGGGACCCCCAGUAAAAUUUCAGGAAAGCCCAGAACUGAUCUGAGAAUGCACAAACUUGGCAUGUCUUUGACAGAGAAGGCUCUGGGAUUUCAGCGCGUUCAUUGCCCUCCACUAAGGAGCUGCUCAGCAAAGGGGCUUCCCUCUGCUCUGCUCUCGGGUUCGGAAUCCGGAGCGAGUUUCCAGUGAGCGGCGCCCGCUGAGCGAGUGGGAAAGCAUCGCGCGUGCCUUUCCCCGCGCGCGUCUGCGGAUCAGCGCAGGCGAGGAAUGCAGAUGUGAGGCUGGAGGCAGUAGAGCCAUCUCGCAAUCAUGCAGCAACAAGCAAGGCAGAGCUGGCAUGUUGUUGACUGAUAACAUCGAGAAGCUGCUAUAUUAAUCCUGGACUGCCAAUCUCUGAACUUCUUGGUAUAUUGGGAACAUAAACUCUUUUGGUUAGGCACUGCGUCAGAUUUCUACUACAUGCAGCCAAAUGCAAUCUAGAUUGAAAUACCCCUUUACCUAAGUUAGCUUUAGCUGUUCUCACAACUUGCUGUUUGUGCUCCACCCACAGCAUAUGAGAUCCCUUUUGCCCACAGCACCCUCCCUCAGUGUGAUGUCGUCCCCCAACCAGUAUUUGCAGGUUUUUUGUUUUUUUUUUUUAAUCACAAAACUGCUCUCAGUCUGCCAAAUCUGUUGGCCCUAGAGCCAGAAGUGCUAUCUCCUGGGAAUUUUUUUUUUUUUUGAGACAGGAUCUUGCUGUCAUCCAGGCUGGAGGGCAGUGGCACACACUCCUGGGCUCAAGCGAUCCUCCUGCUUCAGCCUUCCGAGUGGUUGGGACUAUAGGUGAGUGCCACCACUCCCAGCUAAUUGUUUUUAUUUUUUGUAGAGAUGGGGAUGGGCAGGGAUCUUACUUUUUGCCCAGGCUGGUCUUGAACUCCUGGACUCAAGCCAUCCUCCUGCCUUGAUCUCUCAAAGUGCUGGGAUUACAGGCAUGAGCCACCAUGCCCGGCCUGGGAUCUAUUCUUAACCCUUGCCCUAGUCAGGGUGGUCUUCCUGCAGGAUUAAGAGUUAGACUCUGAGACUCUGAUAUCACACCCUGGCUUGGCCUUCCCUUCCCUGUCCUACCUCCCCACCCUGCUACCAGUUUCUUCUGGAGAUAUUUCCUGAUAGACUACAGUAGUCCUCCCUUACCUGAGGUUUAACUUUCUGCAGUUUCAGUUAUUGGCAGUCAACUUAGGUCUGAAAAUACUAAAUAAAAUAUCCAGAAAUAAAAAA
Molecule: long non-coding RNA, 1372 nt
Filed under: Homo sapiens (human)
Lineage: Eukaryota; Metazoa; Chordata; Mammalia; Primates; Hominidae
Description: HSALNT0337217
Source: RNAcentral